GUGAGAUGUGAGGCACUUGCAGAGACUCAGUCCACCACCCUGGGCAGCUUUCACCACCCUGGGCAGCUUUUCCGAGACGUAGGGACUGGCUUGCCGUAAUUCAUAGCUUCUGCUGUCCCUUGCUACAUACCUCCUGUUUGGUCACAAACUAGGAUUGCAGCAUCUGCUUGUAGGCUCAAAAUAAAGGGAUGGAGAAAAAUCGACCAAGCAAAUGGAAAACAGAAAAGAGCAACUUGCUUCCUGAAAAUUCACGGCUGGAGUGCGGUGGCAUGAUCUCGGCUCACUGCAAACUCUGCCUCCCCAGUUCAAAUGAUUCUUCUGCCUUCUGCCUCAGCCUCCCAAAUAGCUGGAACUACAGCAAGGCCAACUUUUCUACCAGAUAACCCUGACCUCAUCCUGUCAGAAUUGAAUGGACCAAGAAUUGAGCUACCCUAAAAGGCCAGUUUUCUGGAAAUAGUUUGAAGAUACCGACUCAUGGUUAAAUGUUUCACAUUUACCCUCAGAAAUGAGUGCUACUGUUCAGAAACGGAGGUGCCCACUUUGCUUGUGGGAUUUAGGAGGAAAUGCCACACACUGUCAUAGAAAAAAUGGCGUCUCACUCUAUUGCCCAGGCUAGAGUACAAUAGUGCAAUCUUGGCUCACUGCAACCUCCCCCUCCCAGGUUCAAGCCAUUCUCCUGCCUCAGCCUCCCGAGUAGCUAGAACUACAAGCACGUGCACUGUACCCAGCUAAUUUUUUGUAUUUUUAGCAGAGACGGGGUUUCUCCAUGUUGGCCAGGCUGGUCUCGAACUCCUGACCUCAGGUAAUCCACCGCCUCAUCCUCCCAAAAUGCAUUAUCUCUUCCCAAAAUGCAUUAUCUAUUUCAUUAAGAAAAAGGAGAAAGCAACCAUGCUAAGCUUCAAAUAAAAGCAUGUGAGCACACCUGAUGACGCUAGACCCACUGGAAUCUCGCAUAACUCAUCCUGAACGUGUUGGGAAUCAAGUCUCUCAGGAUUAGCCCUGGUAAUCUGAAAGUCACCAGUCAUCAAGAAGUGGCAUCUCUACCAUGUGGUGCAAUCAUAGCCCUGAACUCAAAUUUCUGUCUGAUAUAUUUGAUGUGAUCCCUCCUUUUAUACCCUUUUAACUUCUGCUUGGAGAGACCCACUGACCUUGUAGCUGACUGUCAGAACUUUUCCUUGCCAGGCCAGCAAUAAAU
RNAcentral lists this long non-coding RNA (1195 nucleotides) under Homo sapiens (human). Its description in RNAcentral is "HSALNT0368641". Lineage: Eukaryota; Metazoa; Chordata; Mammalia; Primates; Hominidae. The record is from RNAcentral.